This 23-nucleotide microRNA is filed under the name Alligator mississippiensis (American alligator). RNAcentral describes it as "Ami-Mir-551-P1_5p (mature (co-guide))". Lineage: Eukaryota; Metazoa; Chordata; Crocodylia; Alligatoridae. The record is from RNAcentral.
GAAAUCAAGGAUGGGUGAAGCCU